Molecule: long non-coding RNA, 417 nt
Filed under: Mytilus galloprovincialis (Mediterranean mussel)
Lineage: Eukaryota; Metazoa; Mollusca; Bivalvia; Mytilida; Mytilidae
Source: RNAcentral
GUAGAAAAAAAUGUUAGUAGUGUUUUCAUAUCUACAAAAGAACAGGAACUUAGCAAUGCAACAUAAAUGUAAUUAUGCUUCCAGUUUACUAGGGAAUGCAUGUCUACGGACAAGACAUUUUUUCACUUUAUUUGUAUAUCCAACUUUGAUGGCAUAUAUCUCCAGCUAGGGUACUGCAAUUUUGAUAAAUGAGGUAGUUUCUGAUAAUGUAUAUACUAGAAGAGAAAAUAAAAGACAUAAUAGCAUAAAUUUAAUUUAUUUUUCUCUUUUAUCACUACACUGAGAAAGCUAAAAACAAAAGUACAAAAUUGCAUAACGAGCGCAUAGUAUUCAACUUUUUAUCAUAACUUUGUAACCACUGAAGAUUUUUUGUUGCAACAACCAGUAAAAGAAAGAAGAAUAAAUUGUCUAUAACAG